RNAcentral lists this long non-coding RNA (206 nucleotides) under Phoenix dactylifera (date palm). Its description in RNAcentral is "long non-coding RNA (PDAC_LNC016520)". The record is from RNAcentral. Lineage: Eukaryota; Viridiplantae; Streptophyta; Magnoliopsida; Arecales; Arecaceae.
UGUUGCUGGUGGUCCAAACCGAGAACGAUUGACACGACGGUGUGAACGGGGUUCCGUCUGAGUUGCCUUGGUUGGUGUUGGUUGCGCUCCACCUUCCACCGGGAGACCUGCAAACAAGCCUCGCACCACCACUGGGGUAGUGGGGGCCCUCCGACGAUCAAGUCAGAGGAGAUUGGAGGAGGAGGAAAGAUGAUAAUCGCAAAGGA